This 252-nucleotide ribosomal RNA is filed under the name uncultured bacterium. Its description in RNAcentral is "partial 16S ribosomal RNA". It matches the Rfam family "Bacterial small subunit ribosomal RNA", at positions 524 to 776 of the family's 1533-position model. The record is from RNAcentral.
UACGAAGGGGGCGAGCGUUGUCCGGAAUAAUUGGGCGUAAAGCGCGCGUAGGCGGCUUAGUUAGUCAGAUGUCAAAGGCAAUGGCUCAACCAUUGUACGCAUCUGAAACUGCUAAGCUUGAGUGCAGGAGAGGUGAGUGGAAUUCUCGGUGUAGCGGUGGAAUGCGUAGAUAUCGGGAGGAACACCAGUGGCGAAGGCGACUCUCUGGCCUGUAACUGACGCUGAGGUGCGAGAGCGUGGGGAGCGAACAGG